This is a long non-coding RNA of Labrus bergylta (ballan wrasse), 507 nucleotides long. RefSeq lists it as uncharacterized. The record is from RefSeq and is a predicted model, not a curated record. NCBI's taxonomy places the organism in Eukaryota, Metazoa, Chordata, Actinopteri, Labriformes, Labridae.
ACCAGCUCCUGUGGACGACAGCGACUCGGACUUCAACAGUCGCUGUAGAGGACCUGUUUGCGUAUACAAAUUGUAUAUACAUUUUGUGACCAGCAGGACUGAAGAGCCCAGGAUCAACUUCCCAAAUAUUUGAUGUGGUUGGUGAUCACUCAGGUGGUAUCUCUAGCACCAGGUUCUAAUUCAUACCUGGCUGCCUUAUGAUUUGAUUGUAUUAAUAAAGCUGUAGAUGACUGUACCAGAGGUAAGUUCACAAUUCUUAACGGCAUCAACAAAACUUGUAUUUUAAAUAUUCAAUUCACUUAUUCAGUUGUUCAUAUAUGAUUACUUCUACUAACUCUUUUGUUUCUGUUUGUCUCCAUAAAGUGUUGAUGAUUAUUCCAGAUUAAAGUGAUUGUCCAUGAAAAAGGAGAAUGAAGACGCCACAUCAAGAGAAGAUGUUUACAUCCCAGACCAGAUGAGAAGGAUGGAUGACUACAGGACCAGCUGGAGAGCGGUGGUCGUCUCUCU